RNAcentral lists this ribosomal RNA (423 nucleotides) under uncultured Butyrivibrio sp. RNAcentral describes it as "bacterial SSU rRNA". It matches the Rfam family "Bacterial small subunit ribosomal RNA", at positions 355 to 794 of the family's 1533-position model. The record is from RNAcentral. Lineage: Bacteria; Bacillati; Bacillota; Clostridia; Lachnospirales; Lachnospiraceae.
UGGGGAAUAUUGCACAAUGGGGGAAACCCUGAUACAGCAACGCCGCGUGAAGGAAGACGGUCUUCGGAUUGUAAACUUUUGUUCUUGGUGAAGAAAAAUGACGGUAGCCAAGGAGGAAGCCACGGCUAACUACGUGCCAGCAGCCGCGGUAAUACGUAGGGGGCGAGCGUUAUCCGGAUUUACUGGGUGUAAAGGGAGCGCAGACGGAAGAGCAAGUCUGAUGUGAAAACCCGGGGCUCAACCCCGGGCCUGCAUUGGAAACUGUUUUUCUGGAGUACUGGAAGGGCAGGCGGAAUUCCUGGUGUAGCGGUGAAAUGCUUAGAUAUCAGGAGGAACACCGGUGGCGAAGGCGGCCUGCUGGACAGUAACUGACGUUGAGGCUCGAAAGCGUGGGGAGCAAACAGGAUUAGAUACCCUGGUAGU